This 354-nucleotide long non-coding RNA is filed under the name Homo sapiens (human). RNAcentral describes it as "HSALNT0126540". The record is from RNAcentral. Lineage: Eukaryota; Metazoa; Chordata; Mammalia; Primates; Hominidae.
CCAGCUACUCGGGAGCUGAGGUAGAAUUGCUUGAACCCGGGAGGCAGAGGUUGCAGUGAGCCAAGAUUGAACUCCAGGCUGGGCAACAAGAGUGAAACUCCAUCUCAGAAAAACCAACAAAUUAGCCGGGCAUGGUGGCAUGUCCCAGCUAUUCAGGAGGCUGAGGCAGAAGGAUCACUUGAGCCCCAGAGUUAGAGGCUGCAGUGAGCUAUGAUCAUGCCGCAGUACUCCAGCCUGGGUGACAGAGCAAGACUCUGUCUCUAAAAAAAGAGAAAAGGAAAUCAUUCCUGGGCCACUGUCCUAGACUGCACUGCAGGAAUGCCUCAUGCCGGUCGAGCUCUGCCCUGCUGUGAG